This 465-nucleotide ribosomal RNA is filed under the name uncultured bacterium. RNAcentral's name for it is "bacterial SSU rRNA". It matches the Rfam family "Bacterial small subunit ribosomal RNA", at positions 917 to 1382 of the family's 1533-position model. The record is from RNAcentral.
GGGCCCGCACAAGCGGUGGAUGAUGUGGUUUAAUUCGAUGCAACGCGAAAAACCUUACCUACCCUUGACAUGCCAGGAACGCUGCAGAAAUGUGGCGGUGCCCGAAAGGGAACCUGGACACAGGUGCUGCAUGGCUGUCGUCAGCUCGUGUCGUGAGAUGUUGGGUUAAGUCCCGCAACGAGCGCAACCCUUGUCAUUAGUUGCUACAUUCAGUUGAGCACUCUAAUGAGACUGCCGGUGACAAACCGGAGGAAGGUGGGGAUGACGUCAAGUCCUCAUGGCCCUUAUGGGUAGGGCUACACACGUCAUACAAUGGCGCGUACAGAGGGUUGCCAACCCGUGAGGGGGAGCCAAUCCCAGAAAGCGCGUCGUAGUCCGGAUUGAAGUCUGCAACUCGACUUCAUGAAGUCGGAAUCGCUAGUAAUCGCGGAUCAGCAUGUCGCGGUGAAUACGUUCCCGGGCCUU